Molecule: long non-coding RNA, 3549 nt
Filed under: Sus scrofa (pig)
Lineage: Eukaryota; Metazoa; Chordata; Mammalia; Artiodactyla; Suidae
Description: lncRNA (ENSSSCG00000044223.2)
Source: RNAcentral
CGGAAGGGUAGAUAGGUCCCCUCCUCUGCCCCGUGGAUCCCGAGGCGCCUCGUGCCGAAAGCGCGCAGGGCCCGCCACCCAGAAGCCCACUGGCCUCGCUGCGGUGGGGUCUCCGGCGGCCCGAGUUACAACGUUCUUUUCCCCUCCUCCCCGCUCCCGCCCGCUGCCGCCGCUCACGCGCCACUGCCGCUACCUCGGUCGUAAAGUCCGCGCGGGGCCGCGUUCUGUCGAUCCCGCAGAGAGGGAGGCGGUUUGCACCUGGUGGGUCUCCGCGCCGGGUCCUGACCAAGGUGCCUAUUCGAGUUAUUUGCAAGCCGUCAGAAUUCUGCUUACAGUAUAUGUGUGUUCUGCAUCCCUGCAGCUGCAGAAGAAAUUUUAGUAACCCCCUCCGUACCUGCCUUCAUUUAAAGAAGAAAGAAAAAAAAAUCUGAAACAAAGUGAAAAUAACCUUGCACUAGGAUGCUGUGGGCGAGAGGAAAAGAAGAGUUAUUUUACAACGAACUUUAAUUUUUUUUUAAAUAAUGGAAUCCUUAAUUGUUUUGAACGUAAUGGUGCAAUACAUUAAAGUGGUGGACAAUGACUAUUAGAGGUAGCUUGUGUUUGAGGAUUUGGGAGCCCGCUGAAAGGUAAGUCUUGUGUACUUAUUUCAUAAAUAAUGAUUUUUCUGCAUAUACAGAUAGAAUUGGGAAUUUUUUUUUAUUUUUUAGCAACUGCAUAAACCGUUCUUUAAAAGUUAAAAAGGUCUAAGAGACAAAAAGGAAAAUAUAUUUGAUUAAACAGUUAACAUAAGUUCCAAAAAUACAUUAUUUUGUGCUUUCAUUAUUUUAAAUUUCUAUGCUAUGCUCCAUUCUGAACUUGGGAUCCAAACUUCCUUUGAAAGAUACUAGUUAAAAGGCAAAAAGUGGCUUUAAAUCUACAUUAAUCUGGAAACUGACAUGCUAUACUUUCUCAGUAUGACUAAGUAGUAAACGACAGUUUAAAUUACAAAGAAUACAAAAAUUGUAGACCUAAGGAAUUCACUAGUGGCUUGACAAGUUAAGGAUCCCAUGAUUUUCACUGCUGUGGUUCAGGUUCCAUCAUUCCUACUAAAAUUUCCACAAGCUGUGGACCUAGGCAAAAUAUAAAGAAGAGAGCAAGGGAGCAAGAGAACCAAUACAAUACUGGUAUACAAAUCUCUUUUUAUGUAGAGGACAAAUAUAUUUUAGUUUCCUAUCAUACACACUAUCAGAACUCCCAGAAUGUGUGUUCUUCCUUCAUACACCUUAAAAUCAUGAAAUGCUUUAGAAAAGGAAAGAUAGGAGUUCCUAUCGUGGCACAGUGGAACAAUCUGACUAGGAACUCUGAGGUUGUAGGUUUGAUCCCUGGCCUUGCUCAGGGGGUUGGGGAUAUGGCAUUGCAGUGAGCUGAGGCGUGGUUAGAAGACUCAGCUCAGAUGUGGUAUUGCUGUGGCAUAGGCCAGCGCUGUAGCUACAAUUAGACCCCUAGCCUGGGAACCUCCAUAUGCUGGGAGUGCAGCCCUAAAAAGCCAAAAAAUAAAAUAAUCAAAUAUAAUGAGAUUUUAUUUUAAAAAGGAAAGAUAAAUGUAUAGUAAAAAUAACCUCUGAGAAGUCUCUUGAUGAGAACUUCCUCUCAAUUUUCAGCUUUUUUUUUCCUAGGUAACUAGAUUUUUUUUUUCAGAAAUCACAAAAGACAACAUGUCUUUAUAGAAAAUUACAAAAGUCUGUGCUGGAAUAUAUUUCACGAGGUGAAUAAAACAAAUACUUUUCAAGUAAAAAAGAACUAGCUUAAGCUCAAAUAUAAUUAAUGUAAUUUCAAAAUAAAUGUUUAAAUAUUUUCUAAGGCCUUGUUUUAUAUUGUGCUCUACAUUGAAUGGGCCUGACAUCACCCUUACAACUCUAGCACCAUGUCAGUAUUAUUGUUAGAUCUCCCAUGAUUACAAAAUAUGCUAGUAAGACCAUCGUAUAAGGCACUAGGAAAGAGUGGCCACAUAAUAAAAAGAUAUUUCCUCAUUGCAAAGAUGAGAAUAGACACAGAAAAACUUAUGACAAAAUUCAACACCCACUUUUGAUAAAAACUCUUCAGAAAGUGAGCAUAGAGAGAGAACCUACAUUAGUAUAAAAGCCACAUAUGACAAGCCCACAGCUAACAUCGUUCUCAGUUGUAAAAAGCUGAAAGAAUUUAUGCUAAAGGAACAAGAAAAGGAUGUACACUCUCACCACUAUUAUUCAUCAUAGUUUUGUAAAUCCUAGCCGCAGCAAUCAGAGAAGAAAAAGAAAGAAACCCAAAAUGGAAAAGAUGAAGUAAACUAUCAGUUUGCAGAUGACCCUAAUAAUGACAUUACCAGAAAACUGUCAGAGCUCAUCAAUGAGUUUGGUAAAGUUGCAGAAUAUAAAAUUAAUACACAUACAGAGUUCCCGUCAAGGCGCAGGGGAAAUGAAUCCAACCUAGGAACCAUGAGGUUGCGGGUCUGACACCUGGCCUCGCCUAGUGGGUUAGGGAUCCAGCAUUGCCAUGAGCUUUGGUGUAGGUCGCAGACACAGCUCAGAUCUGGCUUUGCUGUGACUCUAGUGUAAGCCAAUAGCUACAGUUCCAAUUGGACCCCUAGCCUGGGAACCUCCAUAUACCGCAGAUGCAGCUCUAAAAAAGACAAAAAAACAAAUUUUUUUAAAUAAAUUAAAUGAAUACAUUUAAUUUAAUCUCUUGUGUUUCUGUAGUCUCACAAGGAAAGAUCAGAAAGAGAAAUUAGGGAAAUAGUCCCAUUUACCAUGCCAUGAAAGAAAAUAAAAUGCCUAGGAAUAAACUGACCUAAAAGACAAAAGAGCAAUCCUCUGAAAACUAUAAGACACUGAUAAGAGAAAUCAGUGAUGCCACAAAUACAAGGAAAGAUAUACCAUGCUCUUGGAUUAGAAGAAUACAUAUAGUCAAAAUGACUAUACCACCCAAGGCAAUGCUUAGAUUCAAUGCAAUCCCUAUCAAAUUACAAAUGAUAUUCUUCACAGAACUAGAACAAAAUAUUUUAAAAUUUGUAGGGAAACACAAAAGAUCCCAAAUAGCCAAGGCAACCUUGAAAAAGAAAAAAAUGGAACUGGAGGAAUCAGGCUCACUGACUUCAGACUAUACUACAAAGCUACAAUUAUCAAAACAGUAUGGUACUGGCACAAAAACAGAAAUAAAGAUCAAUGGAACAGAAUAGAAAGCCCAGAAAUAAACCCAACACCUGUGGUUGAUUAAUCUACAACAAAGGAGGCAAGGAUAUACAAUGGAGAAAAGACAGCCCCUUCAAUAAAAUAGUGCUGGGGAAACUGGACAGCUACAAGGUAAAAGAAUGAAAUUAGAACACCCUCUAGGAGUUCAUGCCGUGGGUGCAGCGGAAACAAAUCCAGCUAGGAACGAUGAGGUUUCAGGUCCGAUCCCUGGCCUCACACAGUGGAUUAAGGAUCCAGCGUUGCCAUGAGCUGUGGUGUAGGUCACAGAGGCAGCUCAAAUUCUGCAUAGCUGUGGUUGUGGUGUAGGCCAGCAGCUGUGGCUCCAAAUGGACCCCUAGCCUGG